This is a non-coding RNA of Phascolarctos cinereus (koala), 615 nucleotides long. NCBI's taxonomy places the organism in Eukaryota, Metazoa, Chordata, Mammalia, Diprotodontia, Phascolarctidae. The record is from RefSeq and is a predicted model, not a curated record.
UUGAAAUAGAAUUGAGUUCAUUUGUAGAUAUGUUAUGUUCAGUGAUAAUUACUGGAUCAUAGACUCAGAGAAGGAAAGGAUAUUAGAUGUAAUCUAGUCCAACCCCCUUUCCUGGAUCUGCUCUUGGAUCUCUAGACUUUUCCACCAUUCCCUAGCAGUCUCUUCACUUGUUUACACAAUGAGGAAUCCAAAAGAGCCCAGAUAUCUCCUCAGCUUGCAAAUGUUUGAAUCACAGCAAGAAAAGCAACAUUGAAUUAUAAUAGUAACCUUUUUGAAACCAGAUGGGUUUAUCUGGAUCUUUGAGGUACAACAAAAUGCUCCUGAAUUCCUUGAACCAAUAGAAGCAAUUAUUUUACUAGGAGGAAAGAACUUUGGAUGCCUCUAGCUGUGGUGAUAAAGCUCCUGAAUGAGACCUGGUCAGAUGAUUAGAGAUAUGACUUCUGUCACCUAAUUUGCCAAGAAAUCAAAAUAUAAAACAAAGAACUUCCAGAAUCUGUCAUACAGUGGAGUGGAGAUUCUGGACUUGAACCCCAGUCUUCUGACUCAAAAUCCAGCAUUAUUUCCAUGGAGCACGGGUGAGGGUAGAUGGAGAGGGAAUACUUUCAAACAAAUCUA